GAUGAACGCUGGCGGCGUGCCUAAUACAUGCAAGUCGAGCGAACGGACGAGAAGCUUGCUUCUCUGAUGUUAGCGGCGGACGGGUGAGUAACACGUGGAUAACCUACCUAUAAGACUGGGAUAACUUCGGGAAACCGUAGCUAAUACCGGAUAAUAUUUUGAACCGCAUGGUUCAAAAGUGAAAGACGGUCUUGCUGUCACUUAUUGAUGGAUCCGCGCUGCAUUAGCUAGUUGGUAAGGUAACGGCUUACCAAGGCAACGAUGCAUAGCCGACCUGAGAGGGUGAUCGGCCACACUGGAACUGAGACACGGUCCAGACUCCUACGGGAGGCAGCAGUAGGGAAUCUUCCGCAAUGGGCGAAAGCCUGACGGAGCAACGCCGCGUGAGUGAUGAAGGUCUUCGGAUCGUAAAACUCUGUUAUUAGGGAAGAACAUAUGUGUAAGUAACUGUGCACAUCUUGACGGUACCUAAUCAGAAAGCCACGGCUAACUACGUG
RNAcentral lists this ribosomal RNA (497 nucleotides) under uncultured bacterium. RNAcentral describes it as "partial 16S ribosomal RNA". It matches the Rfam family "Bacterial small subunit ribosomal RNA", at positions 28 to 507 of the family's 1533-position model. The record is from RNAcentral.